AAGACUAUAGACCUGCGGAGUACCUGGGAGGGAUCAUUACUGGGUUUUUGGGCUCUGCCCGCCACCCGCCCUCUGUUAUUCGUGACUAUUGUUUCGGCCAGUGGGGGCGACCCCCGGCCGGCAGUAACUCUGAAGCAUCUUGAAGUCUGAUAAACUGUCAAUAAAAAAAACUUUUAACAAUGGAUCUCU
This 189-nucleotide unclassified non-coding RNA is filed under the name soil metagenome. Its description in RNAcentral is "partial contains 5.8S ribosomal RNA, internal transcribed spacer 2, and large subunit ribosomal RNA". The record is from RNAcentral.